RNAcentral lists this long non-coding RNA (1129 nucleotides) under Prunus dulcis (almond). RNAcentral's name for it is "sRNA ncRNA". The record is from RNAcentral. Lineage: Eukaryota; Viridiplantae; Streptophyta; Magnoliopsida; Rosales; Rosaceae.
GUGCGUUCCAUCAACAAUGAUGCGCUGAACCUCCAUACUUGAAGCUUAGUGAGAAAAUAUAUUAGAAACUACAAAGGUUUGGAGUGUUAGGCAGGGCCUUGCAAAUGAUGUCGGUCAACGUGAGAGUGAGGGAGUCAGUGGUGGUGAAGCCAGAGGAGGAAACGCCAAAACGGGCGCUGUGGAUAUCGGACUUGGAUAUCGUGAUUUCGGCAACUCACCUUGGAAGUGUUUACUUCUACAGGAGGCCAAACGUUCAAAACGGCGCACAUCAUCUUCAAAACAACUGUGUCUUGGAUUCGGAGGUGCUCAAGUGCUCCCUUGCCAAGGCCCUCGUGCCCUUCUACCCCGUGGCCGGCCGCCUGAAGCUGAACGAUGAGGGACGUAUCGAGAUCGAUUGCAAUGGAGAGGGAGUGCUGUUUGUUGUGGCGGAGACUGACUCGGUCCUCGAUGAGUUCGGGGACUUUGCGCCGACUCUUGAGUUCCGGAAGCUCGUUCCUGCCGUUGAUUAUUCCGCUGGGAUAUCCUCUUAUCCCCUCUUGGUCGUACAGGUAUUCAGAGAAAGAGAGGAGACAUUUUUUCACUCCCUUUCUUUUAUUUCUCUUGCUCAUAAUAUCAUCCGGGACAAUUCUUGAACCUGAUAUGACUUAAACUUACAAAGUACGGUUCUGGUUUUACUCUGUUUAUGCAUCAGGUCACAUACUUCAAAUGUGGUGGAGUGUCACUUGGUGUUGGCCUGGAACAUCGUGUAGCAGAUGGCUUUUCUGGUCUCCACUUUGUAAAUACAUGGUCUGAUAUCGCUCGAGGUCUUGACCUUACAAUUCCACCAUUCAUCGACAGGACAUUACUUCGUGCCCGAGACCCACCACAGCCUGCAUUCGAUCACAUUGAAUACCAACCUGAUCCACCCAUUAAAACCGGUACAAAAGCUGUAGGUGAUGAGAGCGCAACGGUAUCCAUUUUUAGAUUGACAAGGGAGCAGCUCAACAUCUUGAAAGCCAAGUCUAAGGAAGAUGGGAACACAAUCAACUAUACCACAUAUGAGAUGUUGGCAGGUCAUAUUUGGAAAUGCGCAUCCGUGGCACGUGAACUUCCUGAUGAUCAAGAGACCAAACUACAUAUUGCAGUUGAU